Molecule: long non-coding RNA, 1793 nt
Organism: Oreochromis aureus
Lineage: Eukaryota; Metazoa; Chordata; Actinopteri; Cichliformes; Cichlidae
Source: Ensembl
GUCGCUACCAGAAACUGGGAAAGCUAUCCUGUGUGGAUGAAGCUGAUGUACAUGGCUCACAGGAUCUGAGCCUGUCCCUUGGGACGGAUGGUGUGGUGGAGGUUGCUCUGGUUGACAGUGGCGCCCCCACGGAGGAGGAGGGAUUACCUGAGGAGAUGAGUAAACUGAUUGAAAGACCUGAUCUGUCUGAACUGCAACAGGGCGAGCUGCGUGCUUUAUUGCUUAAAUGGGAGAAGGUGUUCUCUAAAGAUGACGAAGAUUUUGGGAGGACUGACCUGGUGCAUCAUUGUAUCCCCACAGGUGAUGCAGCUCCCAUUAGAGAGAGGUAUCGUCCUUUGCCCCCUGCAAUGUAUAAAGAAAUGAGGAGCCUCUUGGCAGAUAUGAUGGAAAAGGGAGUUAUCCGGGAAAGCUGUAGCCCGUGGGCUGCACCCAUUGUUUUGGUGAGAAAAAAAGAUGGCACCUGGAGGUUCUGUGUGGAUUACAGAAAAUUGAAUGCGGUGACACAUAAGGAUGCUUUCCCUCUGCCACGAAUAGAAGAGACGUUGACAAGCCUCACCCGAGCGCAGUGGUUUUCCACGCUGGACUUAGCCAGUGGAUACUGGCAGGUCCAAACGGACCCGACAGACAGGGAAAAGACUGCUUUCACUACCCCAGUCGGGUUGUUUGAGUUCGAGCGGAUGCCGUUUGGUCUGUGCAAUGCACCCGCUACGUUCCAACGGCUGAUGCAGCACUGUUUGAGUGGACAGAUUGCAGAGUCUUUGUUGGUGUACUUAGAUGACAUUAUCAUUUAUUCAUCUAGAUGCUGUAAAUGAGACGAAAAGUCAGGUGAAGUGUUUCAGAGGCUGUGGCGCCAUGGGUUGAAGCUACAGCCGAACAAGUGCAAGUUCCUGCAACAGGAGGUGAAAUUUCUGGGUCAUGUAGUGGAUAAGUGUGGUGUAAGACCAGACCCUGAUAAAAUUUCUGCAGUUAUGGAUUGGCCGGUCCCUGAUACCAUCAGACAAGUAAGAUCUUUUCUGGGCCUGGCUGGCUACUACAGACGUUUUGUGUCCGGCUUUGCUAAAAUCGCACGUCCUUUAACUGCAUUACUGACAGGGGUCCCUGUGAACAAGAAAACAGACCGUCGCAAGGUGCAGUGGUCCCCAGAAUGUCAAACGGCCUUUGAGGCCCUCAAAGCAGCUUUAAUGCAAGCACCUGUUUUAGCAUACGCCGAUUACUCUCUUCCAUUUAUUGUGUAUACUGAUGCCAGUGGUCGUGGGCUAGGAGCCGUUCUGGCCCAGGUUCAAGAGGGCCAAGAAAGGGUAAUAGCGUACGCCAGCAGAAGCUUACACCACACGGAACGGAAUGACGCCAACUAUAGUUCUUUCAAGUUGGAGCUGUUAGCCCUAAAGUGGGCAGUCACCGAAAAGUUUAAAGACUAUCUGACUGGUGCACGAUUCAUUGUGUAUACUGAUAAUAACCCUGUGGCCCAUUUACAGACUGCUCGCUUGGGCGCAGCAGAACAACGUUGGGUUGCCCAGCUGGCCUCUUUCGACUAUGAGAUCAAGUAUCGUUCGGGUAAGAGCAAUAUUAAUGCUGAUGCCCUGUCCCGAUUCCCCACUGUCCCAGCAGAGCACCUGGAGGGGGCUGGAUCAGAGCGUGGAGUCACUUCAGCAGCCAUUGAACUGACCUGUGAGGUAGAAGGGAGUGACUGGGCAGAAGCGCAAGCUGGUGAUCCGGAUAUUCAAGUGUUCCACAGGUUAUGCGCCUGCCUAUUUGAUGUUUGGUCGACACCUGAGACUUCCUGUGGACGUGGC